Molecule: non-coding RNA, 623 nt
Organism: Pelobates cultripes (western spadefoot toad)
Lineage: Eukaryota; Metazoa; Chordata; Amphibia; Anura; Pelobatidae
Source: the annotation of a GenBank genome assembly
CAACAAGAAACACAAAUUACUAACAAUUUCCAGGUAAUUAAGCACAUCAAAAUCAAUCCUAUCACCACCACUGUGGGUUUUAAGACAUUCGAAAGCAUAUUGUUAAACACCAAUAGAUCCAAUCCAGGAAAAGGGGUUCCAUCCUUCCUUGGAUAUAUCUCUAACUUUUUGUUGCAACUGUUUUACUUUGUUCAUGUAUGCCUCUAUUGGUCAUGGGAGUCCUCAUCCCAAGUACAGCAUUCUGAGCCUAUGAUAGCACAAGUUUCCCCUUCUAUAGCUAGCAGAUAAUCGAGAGCCAUUCUGAUCUGAAGGGCAAUUUUUUUGACUUGGGCUAACUCUUCAUUCAGGGCAUGGAUAGUACUUGUGGUUUCAUUGAUAAACCCAUCCAUGAUACUAGCAUAUUUAUUUAUCUUAUUUGCUACUUCGACUCCCAAACCCAUCCAAGUGGGGAACCACAUCCAGGCUUUAUCUGCAGAUGAGAAUAGUUCUUGCUUAUACCUAGUUCCCCUUUGGUAUAUUUCACACAAUGAGAUAUAUGAGUGUGGUCUAAUGGCUGGUACAACUCUUCCUAUGGUACAGUUACCCCAUGCUCCCAACGGAAGCCAUGAGUAGGCCUUAUUGCC